RNAcentral lists this non-coding RNA (31 nucleotides) under Rattus norvegicus (Norway rat). The record is from RNAcentral. Lineage: Eukaryota; Metazoa; Chordata; Mammalia; Rodentia; Muridae.
UCUGUGUGUAAGAUGUGCCGGAUGUGAGCAU